This 342-nucleotide ribosomal RNA is filed under the name Diadocidia borealis. RNAcentral's name for it is "partial 16S ribosomal RNA". The record is from RNAcentral. Lineage: Eukaryota; Metazoa; Arthropoda; Insecta; Diptera; Diadocidiidae.
UUUUUUAAUUGAAAACUUGUAUGAAAGGUUGAACGAGAUAUAAGCUGUUUCAGAAAAAUUUUAUUAAAACUUUACUUUUUAGUUAAAAGGCUAAAAUUUUAUUAAAAGACGAGAAGACCCUAUAGAGUUUUAUAGAAAAAAAAAUUAAAAAAUUAUAGAAAAAUUAAAUUUAAAUUAUUUUUACUAUUUUGUUGGGGUGACAGUAAAAUUUAUUAUACUUUUAUUUUUUAUAAACAUAAAUUAAUGAUUUAAUUGAUCCAAUAUUAUUGAUUAAAAAUUUAAAUUACCUUAGGGAUAACAGCGUAAUCUUUUUUUAGAGUUCUUAUCAAUAAAAAUUUUUGC